GCCGCGGUAGCUCAAUUGGUAGAGCUUCGCUCGUGAAAUGCGAAGGUUGUGGGUUCGGUUCCCACCUGCGGCA
This 73-nucleotide transfer RNA is filed under the name Dermacentor andersoni. RNAcentral describes it as "transfer RNA serine (anticodon UGA)". It matches the Rfam family "tRNA". Rfam says of the family: Transfer RNA (tRNA) molecules are approximately 80 nucleotides in length. Lineage: Eukaryota; Metazoa; Arthropoda; Arachnida; Ixodida; Ixodidae. The record is from RNAcentral.